GCAUUUGCUCAAAAAUUGAAUAAAAUAUUAUAUAAUUAUAUGCUAAACAAAACUGAUUUAUGCCACUAUAAGAAAAUGGUAAAUUGCACGGCAAGUCAAGAUCAAACUUCGCUUGACAAACACAACUCAUAAUUCCAGCUAUUGAAAAGAUAGAUCCCCGGCUUAAUUUAAAAGAAACAAAACUACAAGAAAUCCAUCGCUUGACAAACUACCAAUUCCAAUAUAAUUUACAAAAGGA
Molecule: unclassified non-coding RNA, 238 nt
Filed under: Hevea brasiliensis (rubber tree)
Lineage: Eukaryota; Viridiplantae; Streptophyta; Magnoliopsida; Malpighiales; Euphorbiaceae
Source: RNAcentral